This 293-nucleotide ribosomal RNA is filed under the name uncultured bacterium. RNAcentral's name for it is "partial 16S ribosomal RNA". The record is from RNAcentral.
GGACUACUGGGGUAUCUAAUCCUGUUUGCUACCCACGCUUUCGCUCCUCAGCGUCAGUAUCGGCCCAGAGCAGCGCCUUCGCCACCGGUGUUCCUCCUAAUAUCUGCGCAUUUCACCGCUACACUAGGAAUUCCCUGCUCCCCUACCGAACUCAAGUCAGAGCAGUAUCGGGUGGCGGCUCUGGGUUAAGCCCAGAGUUUUCACACCCGACUUACUCAACCGCCUACGAGCUCUUUACGCCCAAUAAAUCCGGACAACGCUUGGUGCCUACGUGUUACCGCGGCUGCUGGCAC